UUUCUUUCUUAUUGUUAU
This 18-nucleotide small nuclear RNA is filed under the name Arabidopsis thaliana (thale cress). RNAcentral's name for it is "snRNA_11093". Lineage: Eukaryota; Viridiplantae; Streptophyta; Magnoliopsida; Brassicales; Brassicaceae. The record is from RNAcentral.